Molecule: ribosomal RNA, 375 nt
Filed under: Diploptera minor
Lineage: Eukaryota; Metazoa; Arthropoda; Insecta; Blattodea; Blaberidae
Description: partial 16S ribosomal RNA
Source: RNAcentral
CGCUUCAUGAUAAAAUAUGAGGUAUUGUCUGCCCUAUGAUUUUUAUUAAAUGGCCGCGGUAUACUGACCGUGCAAAGGUAGCAUAAUCAUUAGUCUUUUAAUUGGAGGCUGGAAUGAAAGGCGGGACGAAAUAAACACUGUCUUAUUUUGAUAUAAUUGAACUUAAUUAUUAAGUAAGAAAGCUUAAAUAAUUUUAUGGGACGAUAAGACCCUAUAGAGUUUUAUAACUCUUAGAGUUUAAUUGGUUAGGUUAUUAUUUUAACUUUAAGAUUUAUUCUGUUGGGGUGAUGGAAAGAUAUAAUUAACUCUUUUUUAAUAGGAACACAUAUUUGUGGUUAAUUGACCCAUUAAUUAUGAUUAAAAGACUAAAUUACC